Molecule: ribosomal RNA, 456 nt
Filed under: bacterium LB2021
Lineage: Bacteria
Description: bacterial SSU rRNA
Rfam family: Bacterial small subunit ribosomal RNA
Source: RNAcentral
GAUGAACGCUAGCUACAGGCUUAACACAUGCAAGUCGAGGGGCAGCAUGAUCGAAGCUUGCUUUGAUUGAUGGCGACCGGCGCACGGGUGAGUAACGCGUAUCCAACCUUCCCUGUAGUAGAGAAUAGCCCGGCGAAAGUCGGAUUAAUGCUCUAUGUUGUAUUUCGAUGACAUCUGAAGAAUACCAAAGGUUUACCGCUAUAGGAUGGGGAUGCGUCUGAUUAGGUUGUAGGCGGGGUAACGGCCCACCAAGCCGACGAUCAGUAGGGGUUCUGAGAGGAAGGUCCCCCACAUUGGAACUGAGACACGGUCCAAACUCCUACGGGAGGCAGCAGUGAGGAAUAUUGGUCAAUGGACGGAAGUCUGAACCAGCCAAGUAGCGUGCAGGAUGACGGCCCUAUGGGUUGUAAACUGCUUUUAUAUAGGGAUAAAGUCGGGGACGUGUCCCCGUUGUAG